UAACAUUUAACAGCUUGUGGGAUGCAUGACAUCAUAUUAUCAAAUUCAAGCAAACUUUUAAAACAUUUAAAAUAGCAUUAUUUUGGGCAUAAUAAAUAAUGCUAUAUUUAAUAAUGAUGUGAAAUAAUUAAAUAAAUAUAUAAAAUGACGCUAAUUGAAAUGUUUCUAAAAAAAUUAAAUUUACUUGCAUUUGAUAAGAAGCUGCGUGGGCGAAAACGACAUCUCAUCGCUGGUCUGGUUACUGGUAUAGGGCUAUAGCCAAGCUGAAAGGCCAUUAAAGCUGCCUUAGAACUGUGCAUGCAAAUGCAGUGAUUUUCCAAACUGUCCCGGAGCAGCAUACCUUCCUCAUCUAACACACCCGAUUUAGCUCCUCAGCUCAUCAUAGGGACUUUCAGACCUGAAGAGGGUAAGAAAAGGUGAAGACUAUCGUGAGAAAAACCUCAGCUAUCUGAACACCAUCCAAAGUAACCACAGACUGUAUAGAAACAGAAAGUAACCUAAUAACCAACUCCGCCUGAGAGGAGGUGCUGGAAUUCUGUAACUGUCAGUGUUAUUUAUCUUAGAUCUUCCAUCCCACCUUCAUUUUUUCUCAUGUGUUAUAAAUCCCCUGCUGAACACCUCCAUGAAGAAUAUUUCAAUUAUGUGCUGAGAAGCAUUCUCCUGUAGUCUACUAUAUCGUUUAUUCUGGGCUCUGGACGAAGUAUACCCCUAAAUCCAGGCAAGGGAGUUCACUUCUCGAAUCUAAUCGAACAUGCAGAACUCCAAUACAACAUGGUCUGGAGUCACACACGUGUGUCCUUCAGUGUCCAUCUGUCUGUCUGCUGUCUGGAAGACACUGACUUCUGUCUUUCCCCUUAGAGUUGCAGCCAAUGGGUUCAUAGAGAUGGACGCUGACUCUAUGGAUUUUCCUCUCUCUGUUGAGGAGACCCGACCAGAACCAGUCCAGAGUUCAGUGCGUCCGUGUCCAUUCACUCACAGAGGAUGAUGAGGAUGAUGAGGAUGAUGAUGAAGAUGACCAGCUUCAGGGGUCAAUAGAUAAACCGAUGUGCUGGACAUUCACAUUUUUCUUCACUUUGUAUGAAAUGGUUUCUGUGAACACUUAUUAAAACUAUGAUUAUUAAAUGAAAUUUCAUUUUUUUUUUUUACAUUUCCAUCUUUAGAUCUGUUUGCUCAUCUCUAAAUUAACGACUACAGGACGUUUCCUAUCAGAUGUCAAAUAGACGUUUAGAAGAUGUCUUUAAGAUGUUUAUGAUUUAAAAUGAAUUUAAAACUGACGUCUUAAAGACGUCUACACAGCAGAUGUUUUCCAGAUGAAGAGAUCCUUAAUAGACCUCUUGCAGACAUGCGUGUGCUAUCUGGAAAAGCAUUUGCUAUUGAUUAAAAGGAAAAAUUUAAAUAAAUAAUUUAAAGAUGAAACCA
Cyprinus carpio (common carp) is the source of this 1419-nucleotide long non-coding RNA. The record is from Ensembl. Lineage: Eukaryota; Metazoa; Chordata; Actinopteri; Cypriniformes; Cyprinidae.